UCAGGUUCUCCAUGUGAACCCCUGGUAGCGUAUGCUACUGCGUCUUCCAUAUGAGUCUCUUCUUCCCUUACACUAUAUGAUGCGUUAUUUUAGGAAAUAAACUCAUGCAAUAUCCCUUCAGCGGAUACCACAAACACCAUCUUAUCUUCAACAACCGGUGCUUCCACGACCAUGGGGUUGAUUGUAGCAAUGGUAAAGUCUC
RNAcentral lists this long non-coding RNA (202 nucleotides) under Nicotiana benthamiana. RNAcentral's name for it is "long non-coding RNA (NBEN_LNC012817)". The record is from RNAcentral. Lineage: Eukaryota; Viridiplantae; Streptophyta; Magnoliopsida; Solanales; Solanaceae.